Molecule: ribosomal RNA, 279 nt
Filed under: uncultured bacterium
Lineage: Bacteria
Description: partial 16S ribosomal RNA
Rfam family: Bacterial small subunit ribosomal RNA
Source: RNAcentral
CUUGCUUUCUUUGCUGGCGACCGGCGCACGGGUGAGUAACACGUAUCCAACCUGCCCUUUACUCGGGGAUAGCCUUUCGAAAGAAAGAUUAAUACCCGAUAGCAUAAUGAUUCCGCAUGGUUUCAUUAUUAAAGGAUUCCGGUAAAGGAUGGGGAUGCGUUCCAUUAGGUUGUUGGUGAGGUAACGGCCCACCAAGCCUUCGAUGGAUAGGGGUUCUGAGAGGAAGGUCCCCCACAUUGGAACUGAGACACGGUCCAAACUCCUACGGGAGGCAGCAUG